ACGAGUACAAACUUUGUGUCCAACCGCCCACACGAAACGGUCCUUUUAAAGGAAACUCGAUAUGUCUCAAUCUUCAUUGCACUACACUCAAAGCUUUUGGGAAUGCGAUGUGGACCAAAACAUUUAAAACAAAAGUCGUUUUUCUUUUUCUUUAUUAUUAUUAUAUUUAUAUAAAAAUGGUGUUCCAAAGAUGUCCAAACUUAGACAAGAAAAUCUCGAGUGAAGUCGAACGCUUCAACGGCUGCAAGGAGGUCCGCCAAAAAAAGGAAGUCAAGUGACCACAGAAGAUUUCUUGCUCGAAACUUAGAUGGCCUUUCCCAGAAACCUCUCACGCCACAGCACAGAGGUCACGGCACAGUAUGCAAGAGACCCAGUGCGGACAGACGGUCGAGGAAAAGAGGAAGACCACAUUCCCAGAAUCACAGAAAUGUGCAUCGUCUCUGCACGUAGCAAAGGGUUUUACUAUAUUUAAUAAACACUGACGCAAAGAAAAGAAAAGCUUCUGUCGUAUAAUGACUCGGUUCUGUCACUAAUAAACUCAGAAGAAUGUUGGAAUCACACAUUCAAAGAGACCUGUAAAAUGACACAAAUUUAUUUGCAUUCCAAAAACAGACAGGAACUAUUUAUCAUUGUUUAGUUUCUAAUUUGUUUUCUUUUUUCAUGACAGAUGAUAUAUCCUGAUAAGCUGGCUGAUUUCAGUCUGAGUCACACAAAUAUGCAAUUAUUUUAAACAUGGCGGAGGAAUAGCUUCUGUUUCCAUUAACUCUGGUGCAUUUUUCACAUUUAAAUUCAUUUAAAACAUGGUGUAACUUAAUAAAUAUAUUACAAUGAAUGAGCGUAAUAAAAGUUUCAUUUUUUCA
This is a long non-coding RNA of Paramormyrops kingsleyae, 860 nucleotides long. RefSeq lists it as uncharacterized. The record is from RefSeq and is a predicted model, not a curated record. Lineage: Eukaryota; Metazoa; Chordata; Actinopteri; Osteoglossiformes; Mormyridae.